This 253-nucleotide ribosomal RNA is filed under the name uncultured bacterium. Its description in RNAcentral is "partial 16S ribosomal RNA". It matches the Rfam family "Bacterial small subunit ribosomal RNA", at positions 524 to 776 of the family's 1533-position model. The record is from RNAcentral.
UACGUAGGGUGCAAGCGUUAAUCGGAAUUACUGGGCGUAAAGCGUGCGCAGGCGGUUGUGCAAGACAGAUGUGAAAUCCCCGGGCUCAACCUGGGAAUUGCAUUUGUGACUGCACGGCUAGAGUGUGUCAGAGGGGGGUAGAAUUCCACGUGUAGCAGUGAAAUGCGUAGAGAUGUGGAGGAAUACCGCUGGCGAAGGCAGCCCCCUGGGAUAACACUGACGCUCAUGCACGAAAGCGUGGGGAGCAAACAGG